This 516-nucleotide ribosomal RNA is filed under the name uncultured bacterium. RNAcentral describes it as "partial 16S ribosomal RNA". It matches the Rfam family "Bacterial small subunit ribosomal RNA", at positions 29 to 523 of the family's 1533-position model. The record is from RNAcentral.
AACGAACGCUGGCGGCGUGCUUAACACAUGCAAGUCGAACGCGGAAGGGGCUUCGGUCCUGAGUAGAGUGGCGCACGGGUGAGUAACGCGUAGAUAACCUGUCCUGGUGUCUGGAAUGAUAUCUCGAAAGGGGUGCUAAUACCGGAUAUUAUUGCUUUUGAUAAGUUAUGAAAGGAAAGGUGGCAUCUGGAACCAGCUACUGCACGAGGAGGGGCCUGAGUACCAUGAGCUAGUAGUUGGGGUAAUGGCCUACCUAGGCGACGAUGGUUAGCGGUUCUGAGAGGAUGAUCCGCCACACUGGUACUGGAACACGGACCAGACUCCUACGGGAGGCAGCAGUGAGGAAUAUUGCGCAAUGGGGGCAACCCUGACGCAGCGACACCGCGUGAGUGAGGAAGGCCUUCGGGUCGUAAAGCUCUGUCAAAGGGGAAGAAGUGCAUGGUGGUUAAUAUCUGUCAUGUUUGACGGUACCCUUAAAGGAAGCACCGGCUAACUCCGUGCCAGCAGCCGCCGUAA